Molecule: ribosomal RNA, 460 nt
Filed under: uncultured bacterium
Lineage: Bacteria
Description: partial 16S ribosomal RNA
Rfam family: Bacterial small subunit ribosomal RNA
Source: RNAcentral
CCUACGGGAGGCUGCAGUGAGGAAUAUUGGUCAAUGGCCGGAAGGCUGAACCAGCCAUGCCGCGUGAAGGUCAGUGCCCUAUGGGCGUUAAACUUCUUUUGUGCGGGAGCAAUAAUGGUCACGUGUGGCCAGACGAGAGUACCGUACGAAUAAGCAUCGGCUAACUCCGUGCCAGCAGCCGCGGUAAUACGGGGGAUGCAAGCGUUAUCCGGAUGUAUUGGGUUUAAAGGGUGCGUAGGCUGUGAGGUAAGUCAGCGGUGAAAUGCCCCCGCUCAACGGGGUGAAGUGCCAUUGAUACUGCCUUGCUUGAAUGCGGAUGCCGUGGGAGGAAUGUGUGGUGUAGCGGUGAAAUGCAUAGAUAUCACACAGAACACCGAUUGCGAAGGCAUCUCACGGAUCCGCGAUUGACGCUGAUGCACGAAAGCGUGGGUAUCAAACAGGAUUAGAUACCCUGGUAGUC